CGCCAGGGGAUACAAACCCUUCUGCCCCUUUUUGCGACCCCUGAAGCUUACUGUUAGUGGUCGAGUUUUUCUGGAAGUGGGCUUCCGCGAUCGCGGGGACCAACGCCCUGAGCUCUUGUGCCCAAACGGGAUCGCCAGGUUUUUUGAUGCAGAUCGAAAGGAACUGGCCCCGGAGCCUACAACCUGACGCAGGUGGGACUUGGGGAAAUGUCGAGAAACCUAGAUCUGGGACUUGAGUUGGCUUCCAGGGCACACAUUAUUGUUCAGAACAAACAUAUUGCAAAAAUCGGGAGGUGACGGGCAGAUGAAGUGUCGGCGCUUCGCCUCGGGACUCCAAUGCAACCUACGGGGCUUUUGGAAAGGAGGAAGUCGAUGACUCUGCAGGGACUCCUCUGACCCAGGAGCAGAUGGCGCUCGUCUGGGCACUCCCCAGCAGAAAAGGUGCAUCGGGAAGCAGCCUGGCUUGUGGAUGGUGGACAAGGUGGAGGAGAGAGAAUUCCUUGGCAGCAGCAUUAUGAACAAAUGCGGGGCUGAGAAACAGCAUGGUGGCCUUGACUAAGUGUAUGGCGACAGCAGAUGGAGUCUCGCUCUGUCACCCAGGCUAGAGUGCAGUGGCGCGAUCUCAGCUCACUGCAACCUCUGCCUCCCGGGUUCAAGUGAUUCUCCUGCCUCCGC
RNAcentral lists this long non-coding RNA (675 nucleotides) under Pongo abelii (Sumatran orangutan). RNAcentral's name for it is "lincRNA". The record is from RNAcentral. Lineage: Eukaryota; Metazoa; Chordata; Mammalia; Primates; Hominidae.